This 312-nucleotide unclassified non-coding RNA is filed under the name plant metagenome. RNAcentral's name for it is "partial contains 5.8S ribosomal RNA, internal transcribed spacer 2, and large subunit ribosomal RNA". The stretch from base 1 to 105 matches the Rfam family "5.8S ribosomal RNA", at positions 50 to 154 of the family's 154-position model. The record is from RNAcentral.
GAAAUGCGAUAAGUAAUGUGAAUUGCAGAAUUCCGUGAAUCAUCGAAUCUUUGAACGCACAUUGCGCCCUCUGGCAUUCCGGGGGGCAUGCCUGUCCGAGCGUCAUUACGCACCCUCAAGCCCGGCUUGUGUGAUGGGCCCCGGCGUCUCGUUCGCGAGACGGGCCCGAAAGGCAGCGGCGGCGUCGACCCGAUGAGCCCGAGAGUAUGGGGACUUCUGUCACACGUUCGCGGUGCGGACCGGCGCCUGCUUGACUUUUCUGAUUAUCCAGGUUGACCUCGGAUCAGGUAGGGAUACCCGCUGAACUUAAGC